GUGCCUAAUACAUGCAAGUCGAGCGGACAGAUGGGAGCUUGCUCCCUGAUGUUAGCGGCGGACGGGUGAGUAACACGUGGGUAACCUGCCUGUAAGACUGGGAUAACUCCGGGAAACCGGGGCUAAUACCGGAUGCUUGAUUGAACCGCAUGGUUCAAUUAUAAAAGGUGGCUUUUAGCUACCACUUACAGAUGGACCCGCGGCGCAUUAGCUAGUUGGUGAGGUAACGGCUCACCAAGGCAACGAUGCGUAGCCGACCUGAGAGGGUGAUCGGCCACACUGGGACUGAGACACGGCCCAGACUCCUACGGGAGGCAGCAGUAGGGAAUCUUCCGCAAUGGACGAAAGUCUGACGGAGCAACGCCGCGUGAGUGAUGAAGGUUUUCGGAUCGUAAAACUCUGUUGUUAGGGAAGAACAAGUACCGUUCGAAUAGGGCGGUACCUUGACGGUACCUAACCAGAAAGCCACGGUAACUACGUGCCAGCAGCCCGCGGU
This 496-nucleotide ribosomal RNA is filed under the name Bacillus licheniformis. RNAcentral's name for it is "bacterial SSU rRNA". It matches the Rfam family "Bacterial small subunit ribosomal RNA", at positions 44 to 521 of the family's 1533-position model. Lineage: Bacteria; Bacillati; Bacillota; Bacilli; Caryophanales; Bacillaceae. The record is from RNAcentral.